RNAcentral lists this non-coding RNA (32 nucleotides) under Syntrophotalea carbinolica DSM 2380. Lineage: Bacteria; Pseudomonadati; Thermodesulfobacteriota; Desulfuromonadia; Desulfuromonadales; Syntrophotaleaceae. The record is from RNAcentral.
CUGGUCGGAGACGGACACCGGGCAGUCAAGAG